This is a long non-coding RNA of Chinchilla lanigera (long-tailed chinchilla), 146 nucleotides long. RefSeq lists it as uncharacterized. Lineage: Eukaryota; Metazoa; Chordata; Mammalia; Rodentia; Chinchillidae. The transcript is spliced from 3 exons. The record is from RefSeq and is a predicted model, not a curated record.
GCAAAGAGGAGGUAAAUGGGCUUCAUGAAAAUCCGCAGAUUUGAGCUUCAGCCAUGACUUCAUCAUAAGGUAAAUUGCUACUUUGUGUGAAAGAAGAAUUGCUGUUUUGCACCUCUUCAUUACUGUCUAAGCCAAAAAUUUUCAUC